This 274-nucleotide ribosomal RNA is filed under the name uncultured bacterium. RNAcentral's name for it is "partial 16S ribosomal RNA". It matches the Rfam family "Bacterial small subunit ribosomal RNA", at positions 84 to 354 of the family's 1533-position model. The record is from RNAcentral.
CCCGCCGGCGACCGGCGCACGGGUGAGUAACACGUAUGAAACCUGCCCGUAGCAGGGGGAUAAGCGGAAGAAAUUCCGUCUAAUACCACGUAACAACCCGAGGAGGCAUCUCCUCGGGUUUAAAGGAAGCGAUUCCGGCUACGGAUGGUCAUGCGUCGCAUUAGCUAGUUGGCGGGGUAACGGCCCACCAAGGCGACGAUGCGUAGGGGUUCUGAGAGGAAGGUCCCCCACACUGGUACUGAGACACGGACCAGACUCCUACGGAAGGCAGCAG